RNAcentral lists this long non-coding RNA (445 nucleotides) under Nicotiana benthamiana. RNAcentral describes it as "long non-coding RNA (NBEN_LNC016272)". Lineage: Eukaryota; Viridiplantae; Streptophyta; Magnoliopsida; Solanales; Solanaceae. The record is from RNAcentral.
AAAAGCUAUUUUGAAAAUCGUCUGCAUUUACAUUUGUGUUUUGGUGAUAGUAAUUCAGGUUCACAUCGGCACCCAUUGAUUUUUCAGAUGCAGCUGGGGUUUUAAGGAUUCGAAGUCGAGUCCUCACUUGCUAAUCUCAGGCUCCUGAAAGUUUUGGGCUCAUCUUGGACUUAAGUCUGAAAAGACUUGCCAAAUUGGAACUAUGUACUUUGUAUCAUUUAGGUUUGUUUUGCUCUGUUGGCUCGGUUCUCUCGUUUGUUUGGGUUGUUGAGGAAGUAAUGUCUCUUUAGGUAAUUGUUUGUUUAAUAAGACGCUCAUGGGUAGCUGAUUUAGUUCGAACCUAGGUAAUUGUUUGUUUAAUAAGACGCUCACGGGUAGCUGAUUUAGUUCGAACUUUUAGCAUAGAAGGUAUUUUGAAUGCCUUUAGGUUUCUCCUUAAUUAACU